CGGCAGGCCUAACACAUGCAAGUCGAGCGGUAGCACAAGAGAGCUUGCUCUCUGGGUGACGAGCGGCGGACGGGUGAGUAAUGUCUGGGAAACUGCCUGAUGGAGGGGGAUAACUACUGGAAACGGUAGCUAAUACCGCAUGACCUCGCAAGAGCAAAGUGGGGGACCUUCGGGCCUCACGCCAUCGGAUGUGCCCAGAUGGGAUUAGCUAGUAGGUGAGGUAAUGGCUCACCUAGGCGACGAUCCCUAGCUGGUCUGAGAGGAUGACCAGCCACACUGGAACUGAGACACGGUCCAGACUCCUACGGGAGG
This 312-nucleotide ribosomal RNA is filed under the name uncultured bacterium. RNAcentral describes it as "bacterial SSU rRNA". It matches the Rfam family "Bacterial small subunit ribosomal RNA", at positions 40 to 348 of the family's 1533-position model. The record is from RNAcentral.